RNAcentral lists this ribosomal RNA (253 nucleotides) under uncultured bacterium. RNAcentral's name for it is "partial 16S ribosomal RNA". It matches the Rfam family "Bacterial small subunit ribosomal RNA", at positions 524 to 776 of the family's 1533-position model. The record is from RNAcentral.
UACGAAGGGUGCAAGCGUUGUUCGGAUUUAUUGGGCGUAAAGGGUGCGCAGGCGGAUUUUUAAGUCAGGUGUGAAAUCUCGGGGCUCAACCUCGAAAUUGCGCCUGAAACUGAUAAUCUUGAAUCUCAUAGGGGGUAGGGGAAUUUCUCAUGUAGGGGUAAAAUCCGUAGAGAUGAGAAGGAACACCAGAGGCGAAGGCGCCUACCUGGAUGAGUAUUGACGCUGAGGCACGAAAGCGUGGGGAGCAAACAGG